ACUUCUUCAGGCCCUUUUGGAUUGCGUUUGUAACUCGCUCAUAUCUUCGAAGUAUAAUUUUUUGCAGAGUUCUCCUCCCACAUCUGGCGACUCAGUGAUGUCGGCACUUCCACCGAUGAUCCGUGUCCCUGGGUAAGCCUUUGAUAAUAUUUACCUUUAGUCCGAUGGUGAUAAUAUCCAUUCCUUUAAAUGCACCCCCUUCUCCUUUCAGGGCGCAGGCGAAGAAAAGAAAAACUGGCGGGUCAACUCCCAUUACAAUUUCGGAGCC
This 268-nucleotide long non-coding RNA is filed under the name Hordeum vulgare. RNAcentral describes it as "long non-coding RNA (HVUL_LNC017980)". The record is from RNAcentral. Lineage: Eukaryota; Viridiplantae; Streptophyta; Magnoliopsida; Poales; Poaceae.